This 700-nucleotide non-coding RNA is filed under the name Oryza barthii. Lineage: Eukaryota; Viridiplantae; Streptophyta; Magnoliopsida; Poales; Poaceae. The record is from RNAcentral.
GAGAGAGAGAGAUAGAGGGAGAGGGUCCUUUUCUCUCACCACCUCUCCUUUCAAGCUCAGUACGGUGGCCGCUCACCGGAUCCAAGAAGAAAACCUCUCUUCCGUUUAUGAUUCUUUCUCUUGAGUUCUUGAGGUUUUAUUUGGUUUUUCUUUGAGUUUUUACUCGUUUUUCUCGAUUUCUCGAUUUCGAUGAUUCGGAACUAAAUAGGUUCUCUAAUGACAAGUAAGAGCAAGAAAUUUCUAGCACGGAGAAGCUCUCAUGAGAUUGACAGAAGAGAGUGAGCACAUGGCGUGAUGGCCGGCAUAAAAUCUAUCCUGUCCUCGCCGCGUGCUCACUCCUCUUUCUGUCACCCUCUUUCUCUCAGGGCUCAACUCCUAUCCAGAUCUAUUAGCAGGCUUACAAAAUCACUAAAUUACUUUGAUUUGGUGUUACUCAAUUUGAUUGUUGUGAUCUAGCCUUUUCCUCCAAAGAAGCACUAAAAACCACCCCUUAUGCUUGGUAGAGAGAAACCUCAUGCUUGGUACAGAGAAAUUCAGCCACAAGAAGACAGAGAACGCAUGCUUGAAGUACUCUGUCUUUUCUCCCACACUUUACCCUGUCACCUCCUUAUCUCUUAGAUGUGCGUAAAAUGCAUAUGUUUACCCCUGUUUUUCUCAAUCUUUUUCAGCCGUGCUGUCGCCGGAACUACUACCGAGGAGA